CGGUGCCUUCUUCAUCCCCAGGCAAGUCACAAUACCCACUCGCAUGAUAGUCAUGCAGUAGCCAUGGUUUUCAACUUGAAUCUUUAUUAAAUAUUUGCUUGUUGAAAAGAUGGUUAUCGUUGUUCCGGUGAAGUUUAGAUUUGCAUGUUCAUUGUAUUGCUAUGUUGUUUUAUACCAUGUGAUCAUGUUAUACCUGUUAGUAUUACCUUUCAUAUGUUUAUGCUUGUUAGUAGUACAUGUUGAUGUUGGAGAUGGUCACGCUAGUCAGUAUGAGAUGCUCAGUGGAUAUGAGUUAUUGUUGAUAUGGUGGGAAGUUAUGUGAUACUCCCAUGAUGAUGUUGAUAUCAUGUUCAUGUAUUAUAGUUGGCAUCAUGUUAUUUUAUCAUGGCUCAGCAUAUUUGUCUUCAAGUUUAACCGGAUUAAAUUGAACAUGAACAUCUGUUGGCUGAGUCAUGCUGCCGUUGAAUCGAUGUUGACUAGUGCAACCACGCUUACCGGUAUGGGACGGUCCUAACUGGGUCUAUUGUCGUGCCUCUGGUCAGUACCUCAAUUUAGGGAAGGUAUGGGCGCGUGCUACCCUAAUCAGGUAGGCGGAGCAUAACCUUGUGAGCCCGUUGUUAAGUUAAUUUUGGUACCGGAUCCCAGUGUGGAUCGUGGCCACGACGGUGGUCGAGGUGUCUGGAGGUAGACACGGGGCCACCCAGGACUAGCCCGGUGGGGUCUGAGUCGGAAGGGCCGGGAGAGUGUCAUGACAAUAGAUCGGUUUUGUCGGAACGCUGUUGGUCCACUCGGAUGGGAAAGUGAGGCCAUGGGUUCCGUAGUGUGGGUACAGUGUACUAACCUCUGCAGAGUGUAUAUUAAUCUAUCAAUAGCCGCGCCCGCGGAUAAGGGCCCAGGUCGAGAAAAGGUCACACCAUGAGUCAACAGUAAUAAGAAUAAUGUGCUUAAUAACAGUGAGAUAAGUUGGCCAAGUGUUGGUCGGGUUGUGAUCGCCGUAAGGAUCAGGGGCCAUUUAGUGGUAGGGUUGUGAUCGCCGUAAGGAUCACGGGCCAUUUAGUGGUCGGGUUGUGAUCACCGUAAGGAUCACGAUUUGAGACUAAGUGUUGGUCGUGGUUGUGAUCACCGUAAGGAUCACGAUGGUAUCGAGGAUACCGAGUUGUUGUAUAUUCGUGAUGUUGUACGAGAGUCGUGGGUAAAGAUCAAGCUCAUUGUGGUUAUUUAAUGAUCGCUACAGUAUUGUUUAUACCAAGCUUGAUUUGAUCCUGAGAUGAUCGUGUGAUGUCCGAGGUUGGUAAGUGAUGCAUGUGUUGGUUACAAGGUAACCGAGCAGAUAGUGGUGCAUAUAGUGUUAUCAUGUUGCAUGCUAGUAUUGUUGGAUUAAUAUGUUCAUGUUGAGAUAGUCGUAUCAUGUUUAUGUUGGUCAUGCCAUGUUAUGCUGAUGAUAUCAUGUUAAUUACUGUUUAACCUAUAAUCGCCAUGCUAUUGUUAGUCUUGAAUGCUUCUGGUUAUUUGUGAGCUUGCAAGUACAUUCAAUGUACUGACCUGGCGUGUCUUGCCAGUUUGCAGGUCAUGCCGGAUUUGAUUGCUUGCUUGUCGUGGUUUCCGUUCGUGCGAGCUAGGAUAAGCGUUCCAGCCAGAGUCCCUGCGGAGUGGAGUUCACCACAGUCGCUGUUGUUCCGCUGCUAGAGUUAUUCCGCUACUUCGAGUUGUUCUGCUGCUUGCAUAGAGCAACUGAGGAUGGCGUAGUGUCGCCGUACCGAUGUUAUUCAUUGUAAUAUCGGAGACCUUGUA
This 1791-nucleotide long non-coding RNA is filed under the name Triticum aestivum (bread wheat). RNAcentral's name for it is "long non-coding RNA (TAES_LNC006391)". The record is from RNAcentral. Lineage: Eukaryota; Viridiplantae; Streptophyta; Magnoliopsida; Poales; Poaceae.